Molecule: ribosomal RNA, 492 nt
Filed under: uncultured bacterium
Lineage: Bacteria
Description: partial 16S ribosomal RNA
Rfam family: Bacterial small subunit ribosomal RNA
Source: RNAcentral
AGUGAACGCUGGCGGUAGGCCUAACACAUGCAAGUCGAACGGCAGCACAGUAAGAGCUUGCUCUUACGGGUGGCGAGUGGCGGACGGGUGAGGAAUACAUCGGAAUCUACUUUUUCGUGGGGGAUAACGUAGGGAAACUUACGCUAAUACCGCAUACGACCUACGGGUGAAAGCAGGGGAUCUUCGGACCUUGCGCGAUUGAAUGAGCCGAUGUCGGAUUAGCUGGUUGGCGGGGUAAAGGCCCACCAAGGCGACGAUCCGUAGCUGGUCUGAGAGGAUGAUCAGCCACACUGGAACUGAGACACGGUCCAGACUCCUACGGGGGGCAGCAGUGGGGAAUAUUGGACAAUGGGCGCAAGCCUGAUCCAGCCAUACCGCGUGGGUGAAGAAGGCCUUCGGGUUGUAAAGCCCUUUUGUUGGGAAAGAAAAGCAGCAGGUUAAUACCCCGCUGUUCUGACGGUACCCAAAGAAUAAGCACCGGCUAACUUCGUG